CCUACGGGUGGCUGCAGUGGGGAAUAUUGCACAAUGGGGGGAACCCUGAUGCAGCAAUGCCGCGUGGGUGAAGAAGCAUUCCGGUGCGGAAAGCCCUUUCUGCAGGGAAGAAAAUGACAGUACCUGGACAAGAAGCACCGGCUAACUACGUGCCAGCAGCCGUGGUCACACGUAGGGGGCAAGCGUUAUCCGGAUUUACGGGGUGUAAUGGGAGCGUAGGCGGCGUGGCAAGUCAGAUGUGAAAACCCGGGGCCCAACCCCGGGAGUGCAUUUGAAACUGCGAUGCUGGAGUGCCGGAGAGGUAAGCGGAAUGCCUAGUGUAGCGGUGAAAUGCUUAGAUAUUAGGAAGAACACCAGUGGCGGAGGCGGCUUACUGGACGGUAACUGACGCUGAGGCACGAAAGCGUGGGGAGCAAACAGGAUUAGAUACCCCGGUAGUC
This 440-nucleotide ribosomal RNA is filed under the name uncultured bacterium. RNAcentral describes it as "partial 16S ribosomal RNA". It matches the Rfam family "Bacterial small subunit ribosomal RNA", at positions 338 to 795 of the family's 1533-position model. The record is from RNAcentral.